CUACGGGCGGCUCCAGUGGGGAAUAUUGGGCAAUGGGCGCAAGCCUGACCCAGCAACGCCGCGUGAGGGAAGAAGGUUUUCGGAUUGUAAACCUCUGUCCUUGGGGACGAAGAAGUGACGGUACCCAAGGAGGAAGCUCCGGCUAACUACGUGCCAGCAGCCGCGGUAAUACGUAGGGAGCAAGCGUUGUCCGGAAUUACUGGGCGUAAAGGGUGCGUAGGCGGCAUAUUAAGUCAGGUGUGAAAUACUCGGGCUCAACCCGAGGGGUGCAUUUGAAACUGAUAAGCAUGAGUGUGAGAGAGGAAAGUGGAAUUCCUAGUGUAGCGGUGGAAUGCGUAGAUAUUAGGAGGAACACCAGUGGCGAAGGCGACUUUCUGGCUCAUAACUGACGCUGAGGCAUGAAAGCGUGGGGAGCAAACAGGAUUAGAUACCCGGGUAGUC
This 441-nucleotide ribosomal RNA is filed under the name uncultured bacterium. RNAcentral's name for it is "partial 16S ribosomal RNA". It matches the Rfam family "Bacterial small subunit ribosomal RNA", at positions 339 to 795 of the family's 1533-position model. The record is from RNAcentral.